Humulus lupulus (European hop) is the source of this 452-nucleotide long non-coding RNA. RefSeq lists it as uncharacterized. Lineage: Eukaryota; Viridiplantae; Streptophyta; Magnoliopsida; Rosales; Cannabaceae. The transcript has 4 exons. The record is from RefSeq and is a predicted model, not a curated record.
GCUUAUGCUGAAUUUGAAAGAAAGAGCUAGAAAGAAAGGGGAAAAAGAAGAAGGAAGCUGAAUGUGAGCCCUAGGAGGAGAAUUGAGAGAUUUGAAGUAAUCAAGAUCAAGCUUAGGCCAAAAUUGUUCUGAGCUUGUGGAAUCAUAAGGAUUGGCUUGGAGCUGGAAGCAAGGGAGCUUAAGGUUGAGUUCUUCAUUCAAGGUCUUUGGAGAGGCUCGGGUUAUAGGACCGUGCUCGCGGCUUUGGGGCAUCGGAAGCUCGGGAUGCAGGUAAGGGCAAAGAGAAAGUCAACCAGCCAUGAGUACGGAGAGCGUGGGGGCGGCGCGUACAUGUUCGGUCUGCCCGACUGUCUUGGUUGGGGAUAUUUUUGAGAAAUGGCUGUACAAACCCUAGUUUUGAUGGUUAAUUACUUAUAAACUUGUUUUGAGUUGUAAAUAUUUUAUAAACUGAA